RNAcentral lists this ribosomal RNA (487 nucleotides) under uncultured bacterium. RNAcentral describes it as "bacterial SSU rRNA". It matches the Rfam family "Bacterial small subunit ribosomal RNA", at positions 28 to 507 of the family's 1533-position model. The record is from RNAcentral.
GACGAACGCUGGCGGCGUGCUUAACACAUGCAAGUCGAACGAGAAUCUACUGAAGGAGGAUUCGUCCAACGGAAGUAGAGGAAAGUGGCGAACGGGUGAGUAACGCGUGAGGAACCUGCCUCAAAGAGGGGGACAACAGUUGGAAACGACUGCUAAUACCGCAUAAGCCCACGGGUCGGCAUCGACCAGAGGGAAAAGGAGCAAUCCGCUUUGAGAUGGCCUCGCGUCCGAUUAGCUAGUUGGUGAGGUAAUGGCCCACCAAGGCGACGAUCGGUAGCCGGACUGAGAGGUUGAACGGCCACAUUGGGACUGAGACACGGCCCAGACUCCUACGGGAGGCAGCAGUGGGGGAAUAUUGCACAAUGGGGGAAACCCUGAUGCAGCGACGCCGCGUGGAGGAAGAAGGUCUUCGGGAUUGUAAACUCCUGUUGUUGAGGAAGAUAAAUGACGGGUACUUCAACAAGGGAAGUGACGGGCUAACUACGUG